RNAcentral lists this ribosomal RNA (305 nucleotides) under uncultured bacterium. RNAcentral's name for it is "bacterial SSU rRNA". It matches the Rfam family "Bacterial small subunit ribosomal RNA", at positions 333 to 656 of the family's 1533-position model. The record is from RNAcentral.
UGAGCCCUACGGGGCGCAGCAGUGGGGGAUAUUGCACAAUGGGGGGAACCCUGAUGCAGCGACGCCGCGUGGGUGAAGAAGCGCCUCGGCGCGUAAAGCCCUGUCAGCAGGGAAGAAAAUGACGGUACCUGAAGAAGAAGCCCCGGCUAACUACGUGCCAGCAGCCGCGGUAAUACGUAGGUGGCAAGCGUUAUCCGGAAUGAUUGGGCGUAAAGGGUGCGCAGGCGGAACCAUAAGUCUGAAGUAAAAGCCAUCGGCUCAACCGAUGUAAGCUUUGGAAACUGUGGAUCUGGAGUGCAGGAGAG